GUGUAAUACUGCCCGCGUACUUUAUGCCAGUCGCUGCGUGCGUGCCGUGCCGUGGUGCGUGGUGUGUGUUGUGUGUGUGUGUGUGUGUGUGUGUGUGUGUGUGUGUACGUGCGUGCGUGCGUGCGUGCGUGCGUUAUGAAACUCCUGGUGUGAACACAUCAGUGACAGUGAAAAUACUGCCAACGCACUGUGAUCGCGAUUUUCCAUUCCACAUAUCGCCCCCCAUUAAAUCUCAAAUAACGCACGAAACGGGCAUUUGCCCGCGUAAAUUCAUCAACAUAAUGGGAUAAUGUAAGUUACGUAUAUCCGGAAGGUUGAAUUGUAUUUAUUUGAUCUCGGUUGUUCCGACAAGUUUGCUUAGAAAUAAUUUAUGUGCGGUGUUUGAAUGGCGUGUAUACACUGUAUAGUAUGCGUGCGCGAUCAGUGAGUUUUCGCAGUAGGCGCGUUCUGUGUUUGUAGUUAGACGUUUAGGCGGGAAUGACUGUUCUAGGUUGUCGACGAUAUCAGAACGAGUUACACAUGUGUCAUCUUUUUUCAUUUAGGAGAGAAAAGAAGAACCUAAUAAAUGCUUUCAUCUGAAAAA
This is a long non-coding RNA of Priapulus caudatus, 583 nucleotides long. RefSeq lists it as uncharacterized. The transcript is spliced from 2 exons. The record is from RefSeq and is a predicted model, not a curated record. Lineage: Eukaryota; Metazoa; Priapulida; Priapulimorpha; Priapulimorphida; Priapulidae.